This 253-nucleotide ribosomal RNA is filed under the name uncultured bacterium. RNAcentral's name for it is "partial 16S ribosomal RNA". It matches the Rfam family "Bacterial small subunit ribosomal RNA", at positions 524 to 776 of the family's 1533-position model. The record is from RNAcentral.
GACGUAGGAUGCAAGCGUUGUCCGGAAUCAUUGGGCGUAAAGCGUUCGUAGGCGGCAUGUCAAGUCUGAUGUUAAAGCCCGGAGCUCAACUCCGGUUCGGCAUUGGAUACUGGCAAGCUAGAGUGCAGGAGAGGCAAAGGGAAUUCCCAGUGUAGCGGUGAAAUGCGUAGAUAUUGGGAGGAACACCGGUGGCGUAGGCGCUUUGCUGGCCUGUACCUGACGCUGAGGAACGAAAGCCGGGGGAGCAAAUGGG